Molecule: ribosomal RNA, 1079 nt
Filed under: Squalius pyrenaicus
Lineage: Eukaryota; Metazoa; Chordata; Actinopteri; Cypriniformes; Leuciscidae
Description: bacterial LSU rRNA
Rfam family: Bacterial large subunit ribosomal RNA
Source: RNAcentral
ACGUAAGUGAUGCGGUAGAGGAGCGUUCUGUAAGCCUGUGAAGGUGAGUUGAGAAGCUUGCUGGAGGUAUCAGAAGUGCGAAUGCUGACAUGAGUAACGACAAUGCGAGUGAAAAACUCGCACGCCGAAAGACCAAGGUUUCCUGCGCAACGUUAAUCGACGCAGGGUUAGUCGGUCCCUAAGGCGAGGCUGAAAAGCGUAGUCGAUGGAAAACAGGUUAAUAUUCCUGUACUUCCAGUUAUUGCGAUGGAGGGACGGAGAAGGCUAGGCCAGCUUGGCGUUGGUUGUCCAAGUUUAAGGUGGUAGGCUGAAAUCUUAGGUAAAUCCGGGAUUUCAAGGCCGAGAGCUGAUGACGAGUUACCUUUUAGGUAACGAAGUGGUUGAUGCCAUGCUUCCAAGAAAAGCUUCUAAGCUUCAGGUAACCAGGAACCGUACCCCAAACCGACACAGGUGGUUGGGUAGAGAAUACCAAGGCGCUUGAGAGAACUCGGGUGAAGGAACUAGGCAAAAUGGCACCGUAACUUCGGGAGAAGGUGCGCCGGUGAGGGUGAAGGACUUGCUCCGUAAGCUCAUGCCGGUCGAAGAUACCAGGCCGCUGCGACUGUUUAUUAAAAACACAGCACUCUGCAAACACGAAAGUGGACGUAUAGGGUGUGACGCCUGCCCGGUGCCGGAAGGUUAAUUGAUGGGGUUAGCGCAAGCGAAGCUCUUGAUCGAAGCCCCGGUAAACGGCGGCCGUAACAAUAACGGUCCUAAGGUAGCGAAAUUCCUUGUCGGGUAAGUUCCGACCUGCACGAAUGGCAUAAUGAUGGGGGCGCUGUCUCCAGCAGAGACUCAGUGAAAUCGAAUUCGCCGUGAAGAUGCGGUGUACCCGCGGCUAGACGGAAAGACCCCGUGAACCUUUACUGCAGCUUGACAUUGAACUUUGAUCUUACUUGUGUAGGAUAGGUGGGAGGCUUUGAAACCGAGACGCUAGUUUCGGUGGAGCCAAUCUUGAAAUACCACCCUGGUAAUAUUGAGGUUCUAACUCUGCUCCAUUAUCUGGAGCGAGGACCAUGUCUGGUGGGUAGUUUGACUGG